Long non-coding RNA from Symphalangus syndactylus (siamang), 1884 nucleotides. RefSeq lists it as uncharacterized. NCBI's taxonomy places the organism in Eukaryota, Metazoa, Chordata, Mammalia, Primates, Hylobatidae. The record is from RefSeq and is a predicted model, not a curated record.
GCCCGGAAGUCCCGCCUCCUUCUGGACGCUUGCUAUGUGACGCCACUUGGAAGGGACUCAGUAAGGGUGGCGGAAGUGGACUAAGACAUCAUGUUGCCUCAAGUUUAAUUAGAAAUCGCGUGCCUUGUGAAGAAUGGACACUCAGGAGAUGCUUAUUGAUGAACCUGUUGUUGAGGAUAACUCGCUAACUUUUCUGAGCUUUGUUGGAAAAACUCAGGUCACUGUAUCUCUAUGCAUUACAGAAAAUGGCUAGUCAAAAACUUGUCAAGGCCAGUUGCAGGCAUGAUACCAGCAGUCUGGGAGGUAGAGACAAGAGGACACAUCUCUGCUGCUCCCCGCUUUCCCCAUGGUUAUGUGCCAACUUUGGUUUCACCAGGCCUACAGUGCUUCCCAGGUUUGGAGUGUGGGGAAGGAGAAGAUUUAAUGGAAGCAGCUUAAGGGAAAUGCUCAAACUAAACUGAUACUUUCUUCAUGAUCUAGCAUUGAAACUUUCCGGACUUGACAGAUAUUUAAAAUUAACUCUUUUUCUCAUCAGCAUUUUCAUGGGUUCUUCCGAGAUCCACAUUACCCAACUGUGGUUCCCAUGACAAGAAUUAAUGCCUCUCUGUUUCUUCUGGACCUUUAUUUACCUGACUUCUUUCUCUAGGGACUGUUCACACUUAUGGGCCAUCCUUUUGAACAUAACCUAACAAGACUCAUGCUGGCUUUAAGUGAGUGGUCCACAUUUGGUUCAUGGGAAAACCACAUAGUUUGUCCCCAACAAACUUUGGAAGUAAUAUUUAUUUUACUGCUGGAAUUAAGGAAAACCAAAAACCCUAUUACAAAAUGGCUCCUCUAAACAUUCACAUUACCCCUUUUUGUCUCUGCCCCCUGAGGAACUAGCCAACUCUAGCUCUUUGGAUUUUCUAAAUGAGAGGUCAACAUUUCGAUGUCUCCAAGACCUUAAGUUCUUCUAGUGGUCUCUUUAAGCUUCCUCUCUUGAAUUAUGGUGAAAAGGGACUGCCUGCUACCCCCUCCUCUUGAGGAGAGGGGUGGUAUCGCAGCCUAACAAUAAUUUCCAAAAAUUUUCUCCUCCAGCCUCUAAUUCUCAACCAGUUUAGACUUUCUAAGUGGGUAAUUUAAAGCCUUACAGCCAGUUACGCUCUACUUCUUCUACAAGUCCUGCAACCAGGUGGUCUCAAUCCUCACUUGCGAAUAUUGCAUUUACUCACCUUGUGCCCUAGCCAAAACUUCCACAACAAAUUCUGUGGUGCAUUUAAGUGAAAGAUGUUAUUUGAUAGAUAGAUAGAUAUAGAUAUAGAUAUAGAUAUAGAUGUAUAUUAGAACCAUGGCAAAUGGUUAACUUUUUUAAAAAGGUAAAUUUUUUAUAUUGAGAUAAUUAUAGAUUCUCAUACACUUGUAAGAAAUAACACAGAAAGAUCCCAUGUAGCCUUUAUCCAGUUUCCCCAGUGAUAAUAUCUGGCAAAACUGUAGUCCAAUAUCACAACCAAGAUACUGGCAUUGAUAGAUCACUUCCAUCACCACAAACAUCCCUCAUGUUGCCCUUUUAUAGCCACACUCAUUUCCCUCCUGCUGCCACCCUCUCCUUUACCCAUAACAACCACUUAUCUGUUCUCUAUUUUUAUAAUUUUGUCAUUUCAAGAAUCCUGUAGAAAUGGAAUAAUACAGUAUGUAUUUUAGGGGUUAUCUUUUUUACACUCAGCAUGAUUCUCUGGAGAUUAAUCCAGGUUGUUGCAUGUAUCAAUAGUUCAUUCCUUUUUUACUGCUGAACAGUAUUCCAUUGUAUGUAUAUAUGAUUGUUUAACUAUUUGCUCAAUGAAGGACAUAUAUUAAUAGUUUCCAGUUUUUGCUGUUAUGAAUAAAGCUACUAUAAACAUUCAUGUA